AUCGAGGCAGGCAUGAAAACAUGAAAUCAUCAUACAUAGCCUAAGAUCAGGGUGGGUAUGAAUACUUCUAAAAAAGUGGGAUACAUUUGAGAAAAAUACUCAUCAAUCUGCGGGGGACAUUUAAUCCCUGAGCACUUCCACAGCUAUCAACAAUGGAAGGGGGGCUUCAGCAAGAUGUUACUUCUCAAAGUGGAUGCUGUCCCUACCAUUAACGUGGCUUCGAAAGCAUCUCAAACAGCCACCAGCACCUGCAGAGACCGUGAGCAUUAUCACUGGCAUGGAAGUGAACUGACUACUUAACAACCACUGAUUUAUAAACUCGAUGGGUUAGGAAAGCAGGAGCUUUCCCUGUCACGGACGUCGUUGUGGAAAUGACCGGACCAAUGUGCAGCGUGGAUAUAGAAGAUGAUAUGGUCUGCUGUUGUUUCCCAAGGCCAAGGGAUACCGAAGUUCCUGAAAAGGCAUUCAGUUCCUACAGUGAGCGUCAGGGAACCAACCUAUGGUGGGCCAGAUGGAGACCAGGACAACAACACAAGUAGUGGACAAUCCAGCCUACCUACAGAGGAGGAAUAGUGAACAUCGGAGACGACGAGGUGCCCAAUGAAGACCUCCGUGGCCUGUCUGUCAGAUGUGUCUUCCUCCCUUCCUGGCUGUACCAUCAACGCUCCCUAUGCUCAAGAUACUGACUUUCUGAACUGCCUGACAUCUAAAGUUGUGGAAGACCAUCGCCCAAGAACUGCCAGAUCUUCCUACAUUUGUUUUGUUAAAUUGUUUUCUGUUAGUUUUGUUAAAUUGUUUUCUGUUAGUUUUGUUUUCAAAGUGAGUUUGAGAUUCAACAUGUAACGAAAAUCACUAUAUAAAAUAAAUCUAUUAUUAUUACUAUUCAACAUACCAACAAGACUACUUCCUCAGUGACCGUGAUGAUCUGGAGUGCAUCUCACCAUUGAGAGAGAAAUGCGACAGUCCUUACAGAAGGACAAGAGAUAGAAAACACAAAAGCUCUCUUAUUCUCCUUCAUCAUCACGACU
Oncorhynchus gorbuscha (pink salmon) is the source of this 1028-nucleotide long non-coding RNA. RefSeq lists it as uncharacterized. The record is from RefSeq and is a predicted model, not a curated record. Lineage: Eukaryota; Metazoa; Chordata; Actinopteri; Salmoniformes; Salmonidae. The transcript has 5 exons.